RNAcentral lists this ribosomal RNA (484 nucleotides) under uncultured bacterium. RNAcentral's name for it is "partial 16S ribosomal RNA". It matches the Rfam family "Bacterial small subunit ribosomal RNA", at positions 30 to 507 of the family's 1533-position model. The record is from RNAcentral.
AUUGAACGCUGGCGGCAUGCUUUACACAUGCAAGUCGAACGGCAGCACGGGCUUCGGCCUGGUGGCGAGUGGCGAACGGGUGAGUAAUAUAUCGGAACGUACCCAGAAGUGGGGGAUAACGUAGCGAAAGUUACGCUAAUACCGCAUACGAUCUAUGGAUGAAAGCAGGGGACCGCAAGGCCUUGUGCUCCUGGAGCGGCCGAUAUCUGAUUAGCUAGUUGGUGAGGUAAAGGCUCACCAAGGCGACGAUCAGUAGCUGGUCUGAGAGGACGACCAGCCACACUGGAACUGAGACACGGUCCAGACUCCUACGGGAGGCAGCAGUGGGGAAUUUUGGACAAUGGGCGCAAGCCUGAUCCAGCAAUGCCGCGUGAGUGAAGAAGGCCUUCGGGUUGUAAAGCUCUUUUGUCGGGGAAGAAACGGUAGAGGCUAAUAUCCUUUGCUAAUGACGGUACCUGAAGAAUAAGCACCGGCUAACUACGUG